CCUACGGGAGGCAGCAGUGAGGAAUAUUGGUCAAUGUGCGCGAGCCUAAACCAGCCAAGUAGCGUGAAGGAUGACUGCCCUACGGGUUGUAAACUUCUUUUAUAAAGGAAUAAAGUGAGGCACGUGUGCCUUUUUGUAUGUACUUUAUGAAUAAGGAUCGGCUAACUCCGUGCCAGCAGCCGCGGUAAUACGGAGGAUGCGAGCGUUAUCCGGAUUUAUUGGGUUUAAAUGGAGCGUAGAUGGGUUGUUAAGUCAGUUGUGAAAGUUUGCGGCUCAACCGUCAAAUUGCAAUUGAUACUGGCAGCCUUGAGUGCAGUUGAGGUAGGCGGAAUGCGUGGUGUAGCGGUGAAAUGCUUAGAUAUCACGCAGAACUCCGAUUGCGAAGGCAGCUUAC
Molecule: ribosomal RNA, 394 nt
Filed under: uncultured bacterium
Lineage: Bacteria
Description: partial 16S ribosomal RNA
Rfam family: Bacterial small subunit ribosomal RNA
Source: RNAcentral